RNAcentral lists this ribosomal RNA (786 nucleotides) under Streptomyces badius. Its description in RNAcentral is "bacterial SSU rRNA". It matches the Rfam family "Bacterial small subunit ribosomal RNA", at positions 77 to 876 of the family's 1533-position model. Lineage: Bacteria; Bacillati; Actinomycetota; Actinomycetes; Kitasatosporales; Streptomycetaceae. The record is from RNAcentral.
GCUUCGGUGGUGGAUUAGUGGCGAACGGGUGAGUAACACGUGGGCAAUCUGCCCUUCACUCUGGGACAAGCCCUGGAAACGGGGUCUAAUACCGGAUAACACUCUGUCCCGCAUGGGACGGGGUUGAAAGCUCCGGCGGUGAAGGAUGAGCCCGCGGCCUAUCAGCUUGUUGGUGGGGUAAUGGCCUACCAAGGCGACGACGGGUAGCCGGCCUGAGAGGGCGACCGGCCACACUGGGACUGAGACACGGCCCAGACUCCUACGGGAGGCAGCAGUGGGGAAUAUUGCACAAUGGGCGAAAGCCUGAUGCAGCGACGCCGCGUGAGGGAUGACGGCCUUCGGGUUGUAAACCUCUUUCAGCAGGGAAGAAGCGAAAGUGACGGUACCUGCAGAAGAAGCGCCGGCUAACUACGUGCCAGCAGCCGCGGUAAUACGUAGGGCGCAAGCGUUGUCCGGAAUUAUUGGGCGUAAAGAGCUCGUAGGCGGCUUGUCACGUCGGAUGUGAAAGCCCGGGGCUUAACCCCGGGUCUGCAUUCGAUACGGGCUAGCUAGAGUGUGGUAGGGGAGAUCGGAAUUCCUGGUGUAGCGGUGAAAUGCGCAGAUAUCAGGAGGAACACCGGUGGCGAAGGCGGAUCUCUGGGCCAUUACUGACGCUGAGGAGCGAAAGCGUGGGGAGCGAACAGGAUUAGAUACCCUGGUAGUCCACGCCGUAAACGUUGGGAACUAGGUGUUGGCGACAUUCCACGUCGUCGGUGCCGCAGCUAACGCAUUAAGUUCCCCGCCUGG